CGUCGAGCGGAAACGACUUAACUGAACCUUCGGGGGACGUUAAGGGCGUCGAGCGGCGGACGGGUGAGUAAUGCUUAGGGAUCUGCCCAGUCGUGGGGGAUAACAGUUGGAAACGACUGCUAAUACCGCAUACGCCCUACGGGGGAAAGGAGGGGACCUUCGGGCCUUUCGCGAUUGGAUGAACCUAAGUGAGAUUAGCUAGUUGGUGAGGUAAUGGCUCACCAAGGCGACGAUCUCUAGCUGGUCUGAGAGGAUGAUCAGCCACACUGGAACUGAGACACGGUCCAGACUCCUACGGGAGGCAGCAGUGGGGAAUAUUGCACAAUGGGCGAAAGCCUGAUGCAGCCAUGCCGCGUGUGUGAAGAAGGCUCUAGGGUUGUAAAGCACUUUCAGCGAGGAGGAAAGGUUGAUGAUUAAUACUCAUUAGCUGUGACGUUACUCGCAGAAGAAGCACCGGCUAACUCCGUGCCAGCAGCCGCGGUAAAUACGGAGGGUGCAAGGCGUUAAUC
RNAcentral lists this ribosomal RNA (509 nucleotides) under uncultured bacterium. Its description in RNAcentral is "bacterial SSU rRNA". It matches the Rfam family "Bacterial small subunit ribosomal RNA", at positions 54 to 538 of the family's 1533-position model. The record is from RNAcentral.